This 253-nucleotide ribosomal RNA is filed under the name uncultured Staphylococcus sp. Its description in RNAcentral is "partial 16S ribosomal RNA". It matches the Rfam family "Bacterial small subunit ribosomal RNA", at positions 109 to 354 of the family's 1533-position model. The record is from RNAcentral. Lineage: Bacteria; Bacillati; Bacillota; Bacilli; Caryophanales; Staphylococcaceae.
AGUAACACGUGGAUAACCUACCUAUAAGACUGGGAUAACUUCGGGAAACCGGAGCUAAUACUGGAUAAUAUAUUGAACCGCAUGGUUCAAUAGUGAAAGACGGUUUUGCUGUCACUUAUAGAUGGAUCCGCGCUGCAUUAGCUAGUUGGUAAGGUAACGGCUUACCAAGGCAACGAUGCGUAGCCGACCUGAGAGGGUGAUCGGCCACACUGGAACUGAGACACGGUCCAGACUCCUACGGGAGGCAGCAGAG